UGUGGCUCCCCACGUGGCCUCUCUUGUGGAGACACCAGCUCUGCUCCCUGCUAGCAGAGGAAGACAGUCUGCAUUUCAUAGAUUAGUAAGGACCCUUUGCCCUUCUUUCCUAAUCAGUGGUCAGAAGUGAAAGUCACUGGCUCUUAGUGAUUCAACUUGAGAGCUGGCUUGGCCAGUGGUCCAGGGAAGAGGGUUUAACCACACACCUAAAUGAAUGGGUUUGAUCAAUAAUUAAAUGAGCUGUUUCUGGCAUGAUUGUGAUGGUGAAGCCAUGGUCACGCCGCCCGGUGAAGGAGGCAGUUAGGAGCGGUUUUGCUUGUUCAUGCUGGGUUCAAAAGGGCUUCAGGGAGUCAGAAACUGAGCCAGACAGAAUAAAAAUAAUUUUUAAAGAAGGAAACCAGCCCUACUGAGAGGUAAUGGUGAGAGACUAUAAAGUGUUGCUAAGGGUGGGUUUCUAAACCUCUUUCUCAUACUUGGGAGUUGCCAAACUUAUAAACUUGAGUCCACCUCCCACAAAAGAGACUGAAACUGCCAGGCUCUUGCCUCCUGGCCCUUCCUGGCAUUUAUGGGACCUGAUGGAGACUCUAUCCUUGUGUGCACUAACUUCAGACUCCACUAGAAGUUAAAGACCCAAGAAACAGGCAUCACCAAGAAUCCACCUGCCAAUAGGCAGGACAACAACACUGAGUUUCUAGAAGCAUCUGGGGCAGCAGUCCAAGAAACCUCACAAGCAUACAGGGUUUCAGUCACUUUGAACAAAUCUCUUAGCCUCUCCAAGCCAUAAGUGCUUAAACUGAAAAUGUUAUUUAGUGGAUAAAUCUUUUGCGACCCUGUGGACUGUAACCCGCCAGGCUCCUUUGUCCAUGGAAUUUCCCUGGCAAGAAUACUGGACACUUUUUGAAUCGGAGGCAAAACACCCCAACGGACAAAGGGAGCAACUGGAUGGAAUACGCUCCUGGCGAAGCUCCUACAGAGGAUUAGAGGGAAGAACACCUCGCUCUGGGUUCUGGGGAUGGUGCAGGCAUCGAGGCUCCUCGGUCCAUGGGAUUUCCCAGGCAAGAAUACUGGAGUGGGUCGCCACUUCCUUCUCCAGGGGAUCUUCCUGACCCAGGGAUGGAACACGAGUCUCUUUCCUCUCCUGCGCCACCUGGGAAGCCCUCUUGGUCAAUAUACUCCAUGUUAUUUGAUGCCUGAUCUUUCAAGGGAAUGAGAAAUAAAGUUUACUUCUUCAUUCUGGCCCUGUCUUCUCUUAGACAUCCUCUUUUACUUAUUUACUAACUCCAUAAUUACUGAGUUCCCAUGAAGGGGCCAAGCUCUGUGUUGGGUCCUGGGGACACGAAGGAAGAGAUGACAUUUUUUUCUGAACUCAGGAAGUUCACUUUCUUGGAUGGGAGGUGGGGAGGGCGUCAGACAUGUAAACAAAAUGCAACACAAUGUAAUAAGCGGAUAUAAUAGAUACACAAAGAAUCCUGGGGGGAGAGAGAGAGGGAUAUAUAUAUGCAUUCAUACAUGAUAUCCGAUGGCAUUAUUAGCUAAAAGAUUCCUGGAACUUUCAGCUACUUUGGCCAAUAAAUCUUUUUGUGUAAGCUAGUUUGCUCCCAGUUUUAGGCAUUUCCAAUAAUACAGGAAUCACAGGAGGGCUGGGUGCACCAGAGAGUAUGUUACAUGCAAUGCCGUGAAAGAACAAGGCCUGUCUUUGGAAUAUUGAGUUAAUUGAUACAACUGCACUUUCAUCAUAUGGUCCAGAUGAUUCUAAACAUGCACAAGAACCCCUGCUUUAAAGAGUACCCAUCUAUUGGUAUCUGACAAAUCCCAAUUUUGAUCCUUCAUUGAAGCAGAUUUUUUCAAAAACUUUAUACAGUUACUCAUCACACUCACCCUAUGGAAAUAAGCUUAAGAAAAUUUAAUCCUAUAUCCUUGGCUUUCAAUACCAAUAUGCUUCUUGAAAGGAAGACUAAACAAUAUAUCUAAGUAUUCUUUCUAAAAUAAGGGAAAGGAAUCUUUCUUUAAACAAAUGAUGGCACCUGGUUGGGAUAAUG
This is a long non-coding RNA of Bos taurus (domestic cattle), 2039 nucleotides long. Lineage: Eukaryota; Metazoa; Chordata; Mammalia; Artiodactyla; Bovidae. The record is from Ensembl.